AGAAGGACGUGCACAUGCAAAUGU
Molecule: non-coding RNA, 24 nt
Filed under: Arabidopsis thaliana (thale cress)
Lineage: Eukaryota; Viridiplantae; Streptophyta; Magnoliopsida; Brassicales; Brassicaceae
Source: RNAcentral